AGUGAACGCUGGCGGUAGGCCUAACACAUGCCAGUCGAACGGCAGCACAGUAAGAGCUUGCUCUUACGGGUGGCGAGUGGCGGACGGGUGAGGAAUACAUCGGAAUCUACUUUUUCGUGGGGGAUAACGUAGGGAAACUUACGCUAAUACCGCAUACGACCUACGGGUGAAAGCAGGGGAUCUUCGGACCUUGCGCGAUUGAAUGAGCCGAUGUCGGAUUAGCUAGUUGGCGGGGUAAAGGCCCACCAAGGCGACGAUCCGUAGCUGGUCUGAGAGGAUGAUCAGCCACACUGGAACUGAGACACGGUCCAGACUCCUACGGGAGGCAGCAGUGGGGAAUAUUGGACAAUGGGCGCAAGCCUGAUCCAGCCAUACCGCGUGGGUGAAGAAGGCCUUCGGGUUGUAAAGCCCUUUUGUUGGGAAAGAAAAGCAGCAGGUGAAUACCCCGCUGUUCUGACGGUACCCAAAGAAUAAGCACCGGCUAACUUCGUG
RNAcentral lists this ribosomal RNA (492 nucleotides) under uncultured bacterium. RNAcentral's name for it is "partial 16S ribosomal RNA". It matches the Rfam family "Bacterial small subunit ribosomal RNA", at positions 29 to 507 of the family's 1533-position model. The record is from RNAcentral.